GAGGAAGGCAGUGGAUGCCACUGGGACAUUCCAGAUGAAGUGAGCAUUGCAUCCAGCAGGGAUGGAUCCAAGACGGUCUCCUGGGGCAUCAGGACACAUGCGAGUCAGCCUCAAAGGGGCUGCUGCAACAAAGCACCACAAACUGGGUGGCAGAAAACAACCAAGAUGCACUGUCUCACAGCUGUGGAGGCCAGAAGUCUGAAACCAAGAGUAGGAGCUACAGCCUGGAGCGGCUGGCCAGCUCACGCUGCUUGCCAGCCUCCCUGCAGGAGUGCACAGCCACGUGACUGAGUUUGAGAAACUUGUGUGCGUGAUGUGUGCCACGUCCCUGCCAGUGUCAUUGGCAAACUGGGCCUCCUCUACAUUCUCUUUCCAAUUUCCACAAACUGGAGCACAGAGGAACCUGCAGCCUGGCUUCAGCCAAGGGCAAAGCCGAAGGGAUGGCAAAGAAAUGAGAUGAAGAGAACCUGGGCCUCUGAGCACGGCCAAGCCACCCACCAGCCAGGAAAGCUCUCUUCAGACUGUGUCUUAGGUCAGCUCACUUGGAACAGACGGUCCCGGAGGCGUACUAGGCUACACCACUCAGGAACGGCAGCAGCCAGGUGCAAGAGCAGAAGUUGAAUUGCAGUGAAGUUGGACGAGGGUCCUCAGCUGGUCCAGCGGGGAGCUCUGGAUCUAGGAUGGCCCUUCAGAGUUGUCCCAGAUGGAGACAAAGGGGUGGGACCUUCGUUCUCCAUAUCUACCAGUCUUUUGGGGAUGCAGGCUGCCUGCGCAAGGGCCAUAACUUGGGUGAGGCAGCUCCUUUCGCCAAGGGCAAUUCUCAGAGAUGGACUCAGCUAUGAGCCCUCAACAACUCCCCACCCCAGCCCCCCAGCACUGGGGAGGUGGUACCUCAGUCUUAAAGGCGGGAUCUGGGUGCUGCCCUACAAUAUCCACUGCAGAUUGUCACUAAGGGAGAAACUUCUAUGUUCUUUAAGCCAUGGCUUUAUUGUUGGGUCUCUAUUACAGCAGUCUCUCCUCACCCCCAUCUAAUAAAGCUCUCUGCUUGUUUACAAGUGCACAUCCUGCCCUCAGCCAGAGAGGAACUCCCUGAGACACACACUAGGUCAGUGGUU
Molecule: long non-coding RNA, 1115 nt
Organism: Balaenoptera acutorostrata (minke whale)
Lineage: Eukaryota; Metazoa; Chordata; Mammalia; Artiodactyla; Balaenopteridae
Exons: 3
Source: RefSeq, a predicted model, not a curated record